GACCGAACGCUGGCGGGCUGCUUUACACCAUGCAAGUCGAACGGAAAAGGCCCCUGCUUUUGUGGGGUGCUUCGAGUGGCGAACGGGUGAGUAACACGUGAGUAACUUGCCCUUGACUUUGGGAUAAGUUUAGGAAACUGGGGCUAAUACCGGAUAGGAGCUCCUGCUGCAUGGUGGGGGUUGGAAAGUUUCGGCGGUUGGGGAUGGACUCGCGGCUUAUCAGCUUGUUGGUGGGGUAGUGGCUUACCAAGGCUUUGACGGGUAGCCGGCCUGAGAGGGUGACCGGCCACAUUGGGACUGAGAUACGGCCCAGACUCCUACGGGAGGCAGCAGUGGGGAAUAUUGCACAAUGGGCGGAAGCCUGAUGCAGCAACGCCGCGUGCGGGAUGACGGCCUUCGGGUUGUAAACCGCUUUCGCCUGUGACGAAGCGUGAGUGACGGUAAUGGGUAAAGAAGCACCGGCUAACUACGUGCCAGCAGCCGCGGUGAUACGUAGGGUGCGAGCGUUGUCCGGAUUUAUUGGGCGUAAAGGGCUCGUAGGUGGUUGAUCGCGUCGGAAGUGUAAUCUUGGGGCUUAACCCUGAGCGUGCUUUCGAUACGGGUUGACUUGAGGAAGGUAGGGGAGAAUGGAAUUCCUGGUGGAGCGGUGGAAUGCGCAGAUAUCAGGAGGAACACCAGUGGCGAAGGCGGUUCUCUGGGCCUUUCCUGACGCUGAGGAGCGAAAGCGUGGGGAGCGAACAGGCUUAGAUACCCUGGUAGUCCACGCUGUAAACGGUGGGUACUAGGUGUGGGGUCCAUUCCACGGGUUCCGUGCCGUAGCUAACGCUUUAAGUACCCCGCCUGGGGAGUACGGCCGCAAGGCUAAAACUCAAAGGAAUUGACGGGGCCCCGCACAAGCGGCGGAGCAUGCGGAUUAAUUCGAUGCAACGCGUAGAACCUUACCUGGGUUUGACAUGGAUCGGGAGUGCUCAGAGAUGGGUGUGCCUCUUUUGGGGUCGGUUCACAGGUGGUGCAUGGCUGUCGUCAGCUCGUGUCGUGAGAUGUUGGGUUAAGUCCCGCAACGAGCGCAACCCUUGUUCACUGUUGCCAGCACGUUAUGGUGGGGACUCAGUGGAGACCGCCGGGGUCAACUCGGAGGAAGGUGGGGAUGACGUCAAGUCAUCAUGCCCCUUAUGUCCAGGGCUUCACGCAUGCUACAAUGGCUGGUACAGAGAGUGGCGAGCCUGUGAGGGUGAGCGAAUCUCGGAAAGUCGGUCUCAGUUCGGAUUGGGGUCUGCAACUCGACCUCAUGAAGUCGGAGUCGCUAGUAAUCGCAGGUCAGCAACGCUGCGGUGAAUACGUUCCCGGGGC
RNAcentral lists this ribosomal RNA (1350 nucleotides) under uncultured bacterium. RNAcentral's name for it is "bacterial SSU rRNA". It matches the Rfam family "Bacterial small subunit ribosomal RNA", at positions 27 to 1380 of the family's 1533-position model. The record is from RNAcentral.